UAACCAGGAACACCCCAUGAUUCC
Molecule: microRNA, 24 nt
Filed under: Canis lupus familiaris (dog)
Lineage: Eukaryota; Metazoa; Chordata; Mammalia; Carnivora; Canidae
Description: Cfa-Novel-16_5p (mature (co-guide))
Source: RNAcentral